AGCUUGAACGCUGGCGGCGUGGCUAAGACAUGCAAGUCGUACGGUGUAGCAAUACACAGUGGCGAACGGGAGAGUAAUGAAUCGCUAAUGUGCCCCGGACUCUGGGAUAGCCAGUCGAAAGAUUGGGUAAUACCAGAUGACAUAUCUUUAUCGCAUGAUAGAGAUCUCAAAGGUCCGCCGGUCUGGGAGCAGGCGAUUUCGUAUCAGCUAGUUGGUGAGGUAACGGCUCACCAAGGCGACGACGCGUAGCCGGACUGAGAGGUUGGCCGGCCUCAUUGGGACUGAGACACUGCCCAGACUCCUACGGGGGGCUGCAGUAACGAAUCUUCCGCAAUGCACGAAAGUGUGACGGAGCGACGCCGCGUGUGGGACGAAGUCCUUCGGGAUGUAAACCACUGUCAGAGGUUACCAAGUUCUGAGGAGCCCAGAGGAAGGACGGCUAACUCUGCGCCAGCAGCGCGGU
Molecule: ribosomal RNA, 463 nt
Filed under: uncultured bacterium
Lineage: Bacteria
Description: SSU rRNA
Rfam family: Bacterial small subunit ribosomal RNA
Source: RNAcentral